Molecule: small nucleolar RNA, 128 nt
Organism: Phragmites australis (common reed)
Lineage: Eukaryota; Viridiplantae; Streptophyta; Magnoliopsida; Poales; Poaceae
Source: RefSeq, a predicted model, not a curated record
AUCCCGGAUUGACUACCUUAGCUGUUCUUCCGAUUCAUGGGAGGCCAAGAUCGAUGUUUUAUGGGAGUUUCGCUGAUAGCGCCUUCCCCAUCUUUGGAGGUGCUUCAUUAGUAACUCACCACACAAAA